Molecule: small RNA, 1160 nt
Filed under: Cryptococcus neoformans H99
Lineage: Eukaryota; Fungi; Basidiomycota; Tremellomycetes; Tremellales; Cryptococcaceae
Description: Cryptococcus neoformans var. grubii H99 hypothetical RNA
Source: RNAcentral
CUCUAUUUCAUCCCCCCAAGCACCAAACAAGCCAGCACCACCCCCUUACUCACCAUCCUCCUCACCAUCCUCCUCAUCCUCUUCUCCCGUCCUAGCCGAAGAAUCGACAUUGCGACCCUGGCCGAACUCCUCCCCAUCCUCACUCCCAUAUCCCCCAUUUCCUCCCCCCUUGCCCUUCCUCCACACGGGCACCAUCCGACUUCGGUUCAUGGCUUGCCACUCCAUGAACUCUUUUUGUAGGCCCGCAAGGUGGCGUACACUGGUUAUCCCAGUGUUGGCAGCCCCCGAAGCGAGCCUCGUCUUCUCGAAAGACGAAUUCCAACACCACCCUCCUAUAUUGUUUAAUUGAUGUCAGUCGACGUAGGCCCUCGCACUAAUCCAACUCACCUCUCCUUUUCUCCGAGUUCGCCAAGCUCGAACAUCUCCUUUGCCGCCACCUUCCAAAAGUUCUCAACCUUUGGGGACAAAGGAGAGCCGACUCGGUAAGUCGAAUACCUCUACAAGUAAAAUACAUCAGCUACUGUGAUGUUGCUUAAACGAAAGAAACAUGCCAGGAAGGCGAGGCGCUGUAGAAAGGGCAUGGCCAAGGGGUGGUCAAGGGGGACCCCUUGGCCAUGCAUCGGCCUAGAACGACGAGGUUCCAGCGCUCAUCAAUGCUUUUUGAUAAGCUAUACAAAGCAAUUCGUCAAUAGUCGUAGCAUAUAAAUAAGGUCGCUUACCGCCUGCUUCCUCUCGCUCCUCCAGACCGUCAACUUUCGUGUGACUUCCUUUCGGAAGUCGUGACGGUCAGGGUGCCGAGCAUUGGGCACCCCACCCACUUUGCAGGCGACUGCUGCAUCCUGAGUAGAUGUAGUUAAAUAUCUGGUACGUCACCAAUGGUAAACAAGGUAAACCUACGUGGAUUAUGGAAGCCAGGUUGCUUCCAUAGAAAAGGUCGGAGAAGGGGGUGAUCAAAAAUGCAUUGACCACCCCGCUGGCUAAGUCACUGUAUUUUUGCUGGUAAAUGAACGUCAGAUGACUGAAAGGUUAUGCUGUGUUUGGUUUGAUUAAGUACCGAACUUACAGAGGGCUUCGAGCCCGUUAAAGCAGAUGGCGACUGGGAGGCGAACAGACACUUCAGGAUCGCCAACUCUUUGAGAAUGAACUCUUGAUUACGCUCC